This 331-nucleotide small nuclear RNA is filed under the name Octodon degus (degu). RNAcentral's name for it is "7SK RNA (ENSODEG00000023639.1)". The stretch from base 1 to 295 matches the Rfam family "7SK RNA". From Rfam's summary of the family: 7SK was discovered as an abundant small nuclear RNA in the mid-70s but a possible function has only recently been suggested. Two independent studies have found that 7SK RNA binds the CDK9/cyclin T complex (known as elongation factor P-TEFb). P-TEFb activates transcription by phosphorylating the C-terminal domain of RNA polymerase II. Lineage: Eukaryota; Metazoa; Chordata; Mammalia; Rodentia; Octodontidae. The record is from RNAcentral.
GCAUGAGGGUGGUCUGGCAGUGACAUUCACCACCUCGUUGAUCACCAGGGCUGAUCUGGCUGGUGGGUGGCUGGGUGGGUGUCCUCUUCCUCCUUCGCUACUGCACGUGCGUCCCUCCUGGAGCUGCAAGCUCCGUUACAGGGGACGACACAAGGAGGAGUGUUUUCCUGUCAAGGAUGUGUGAGUGGCUGCACUCUUCUGCUAGAACCUCCGAACAAGGUUUCAAGAUACAGAUGUCCCUGGGGUCUUUGGCUUGUGAGACUGUAACCAUCAUGUGUUUUGCCCUUUACUUCUUUCUGCAGCAAAGCAGUUGAGAGCUUAGCUCAAGGGG